Molecule: ribosomal RNA, 567 nt
Filed under: Triticum aestivum (bread wheat)
Lineage: Eukaryota; Viridiplantae; Streptophyta; Magnoliopsida; Poales; Poaceae
Description: partial small subunit ribosomal RNA
Source: RNAcentral
AUGGACGCGGUGGUGCCGGAGAUGCCGGACCUGAACGUGGAGAAGCCGGCCGUGGACGCGGGGCACAGCUAUGGCGGCACGACGGCAGGGUGUCGGGGACGGCCACGAGCGCUGCUGGCAAAACUCGAGGCGUGGCUGCUGGGUGCGUUGGCGGCUGGUGGACGAGCUCCACGUGUGCGCCGAACUCCCGCGGCUGGUGGCCCUGCUCCCCGGUGUCUGCGUGCUCGUGCUGGAGCCAUUCUCCGGGAUGAGGCCAGGGUAACAGUGGCGCCAGAGAUGCCGACAAGUGACACCAGUUGUGAGAUUCCGGCCGUGGACGCGGAGCCGCCGGAUGCGGUCGCGACGACGCCGGAGCCCGGCCGUGGACGCGGAGGCGCCGGAUGCGGAAGCGAUGAUGUCAGAGACGCCGGCUGUGGACACGACUACGCCGGAGGCGGACGCAGAGAUGCCGGACACGCCGGCCUCCCAUCUCCUCAAGUUUCCGCCGCCGCGUGCAUUCGUUGGUGCUGGAGGAAGGGGAUAAAGACAAGCGCUGCCGCGGGGCUAGUUUCGUUCAGAAGUGCCUAA